RNAcentral lists this small nuclear RNA (18 nucleotides) under Arabidopsis thaliana (thale cress). RNAcentral describes it as "snRNA_06878". Lineage: Eukaryota; Viridiplantae; Streptophyta; Magnoliopsida; Brassicales; Brassicaceae. The record is from RNAcentral.
UUCAGACAUCAAAAGCGU